RNAcentral lists this ribosomal RNA (1405 nucleotides) under metagenome. Its description in RNAcentral is "SSU rRNA". It matches the Rfam family "Eukaryotic small subunit ribosomal RNA", at positions 379 to 1801 of the family's 1831-position model. The record is from RNAcentral.
GAUUCCGGAGAGGGAGCCUGAGAAACGGCUACCACAUCCAAGGAAGGCAGCAGGCGCGCAAAUUACCCACUCCCGGCACGGGGAGGUAGUGACGAAAAAUAACGAUGCGAGAGCUUUUAGCUUUUCGUAACCGGAAUGGGUACACUUUAAAUCCUUUAACGAGGUUCUAUUGGAGGGCAAGUCUGGUGCCAGCAGCCGCGGUAAUUCCAGCUCCAAUAGCGUAUAUUAAAGUUGCUGCGGUUAAAAAGCUCGUAGUUGGAUCCGGGCAGUCGACGCGCGGUGCGCUUUACGGCGUUACUGCGUGCUCGUCGCCACUAUCCGGCCUUGUCUUUCAUGUUCUUUACUGAGCGUGAUCGGCGACCGGGACGUUUACUUUGAAAAAAUUAGAGUGCUUAAAGCAGGCAUAUGGCCUUGCAUAAUGGUGCAUGGAAUAAUGGAAUAGGACCUCGGUUCUAUUUUGUUGGUUUUCGGAGCUCGAGGUAAUGAUUAAGAGGAACAGACGGGGACAUUCGUAUUGCGGCGUUAGAGGUGAAAUUCUUGGAUCGUCACAAGACGAACUACUGCGAAAGCAUUUGUCAAGAAUGUUUUCAUUAAUCAAGAACGAAAGUUAGAGGUUCGAAGGCGAUCAGAUACCGCCCUAGUUCUAACCAUAAACGAUGCCAACCAGCGAUCCGUCGGUGUUCAUUCAAUGACUCGACGGGCAGCUUCCGGGAAACCAAAGUGCUUAGGUUCCGGGGGAAGUAUGGUUGCAAAGCUGAAACUUAAAGGAAUUGACGGAAGGGCACCACCAGGAGUGGAGCCUGCGGCUUAAUUUGACCCAACACGGGAAAACUUACCCGGCCCGGACACUGUAAGGAUUGACAGAUUGAGAGCUCUUUCUUGAUUCGGUGGUUGGUGGUGCAUGGCCGUUCUUAGUUGGUGGAGCGAUUUGUCUGGUUAAUUCCGAUAACGAACGAGACUCUAGCCUGCUAAAUAGCCAACUGAUCCGCUGCGUCGGUUGCUAUAAGCUUCUUAGAGGGACAGGCGACGUUUAGUCGCACGAGAUUGAGCAAUAACAGGUCUGUGAUGCCCUUAGAUGCCCGGGGCCGCACGCGCGCUACACUGGUUGAAGCAGCUGGCAUUACGUCUAGGUCGAAAGGCCCGGAAAAUCCGCUGAAACUCAACCGUGAUUGGGAUUGAGCUUUGUAACUAUCGCUCAUGAACGAGGAAUUCCCAGUAAGCGCGAGUCAUAAGCUCGCGUUGAUUACGUCCCUGCCCUUUGUACACACCGCCCGUCGCUACUACCGAUUGAAUGAAUUAGUGAGGACUUCGGACCGGACAUCGCGGCUGUCGCAAGAUGGCUGCGGCUGGCUGGGAAGAUGUCCAAACUGGCUCAUUUAGAGGAAGUAAAAGUCGUAACAAGGCU